RNAcentral lists this long non-coding RNA (704 nucleotides) under Gallus gallus (chicken). Its description in RNAcentral is "long non-coding RNA NONGGAT003649". The record is from RNAcentral. Lineage: Eukaryota; Metazoa; Chordata; Aves; Galliformes; Phasianidae.
AUUAGCACCUACUAAUAUGAAUAGGCACAGAGAAGAAAUGAAUAAUGGGUUUGGGGACUGAAUUAGACACAAAUUACUAGGAAUUUUUUGGACAGGAAAAAUACUUGAAAGGGCAAAUCCUACACCAGACUCAAGGAGGCUUCACCAGAUACCCCAGAACUUACUGAAAGCAGGAACAUUCUGUCCUGUGCACCUUUUCUUGCUGAGUGUUUUUGCAGAGGUGCAAGGCUUGCCACUCCAUCUUUUGGCAGGUGAUGCAUAACAUCAAGCUGUACAGUCUGGAGGGUGAAAGCCAAGUCUGAAGGAAGCUGUCAGCAUGGAGGGAUGUGCUGUGACUGUUGGCUCCAUGUCUGUCCCCAUGGACCUCAGACAGGCAGUGAGAAGUGUGUUUUCACUCCUGGCUCUUGACAUGGGGAUCAAGCUGCCCGUCCAUUUCCCCCAUGGGCACUGAUACCAGUCCCUAUGGACUUGGUGUGGAGCCAUGCUGACUUUACUGUGGGAGAUAGUGGUGACCCGAUGUGUCCUCAGCUUGUCACUCUUCAUGCUAACAGUACAGAGGAAAAGCAGCCAUCCCUGUGGCAGGAAUCAAUAGCCUAUUGGAGGUUAUGAAUAUCUAUAUGCCCUCUGCACAUUUUUUUCACAUAUGGAAAAAUAUCUAAAAUAUACAUAUUGACAUCACCAGGUGCAAGAAUGUUGAAUAGCUG